This 2400-nucleotide unclassified non-coding RNA is filed under the name Hevea brasiliensis (rubber tree). Lineage: Eukaryota; Viridiplantae; Streptophyta; Magnoliopsida; Malpighiales; Euphorbiaceae. The record is from RNAcentral.
AGUCAACACAGUCAGAGUUUUCCCAAAAAGUGCACCCUUAACUUUGAACUCCACAGAGGCCACAUUGUCGAGUAUAACCUCUCCUCUGUCUGUGUCUCUCUCUCUGUACGCUGCUGCUUCAUCGAUGGCGUUUUUGAAACUUUACUCUCUUUACAUUUUCUUUAUCUUCUUGGCCUUAUCUUUCACUGUUUCACUCACUGAGUCCUUGCCUUCUUCAUCUUCUGGUGAUGUUGGACUUCUGCUGGGAAAGAUCAAACCUUCACUGCAAGGUAACGCUGAAAAUCUUUUACUCUCUUCGUGGAACUCCUCUGUUCCUCUUUGCCAAUGGAGAGGUCUCAAAUGGGUCUUCUCCAAUGGUUCCCCUCUCUCUUGCACUGACCUUUCUGCACCAGAAUGGACCAAUCUUUCACUCUACAAAGACCCGUCUUUGCACCUACUUUCUCUCCAGCUUCCAUCUGCUAAUCUCUCAGGUUCACUCCCUAGAGAGCUUGGUGAGUUCUCUGUGCUUCAAAGUUUGUAUCUUAACAUUAAUUCUCUGAGUGGAACCAUCCCUCUUGAGCUUGGUUACAGUUCUUCGCUAUCUGAUAUUGAUUUGAGUGACAAUUUGUUUAGUGGAGUUUUAGCUCCAUCCAUCUGGAAUCUUUGCGAUAGAUUAGUUUCACUUAAGCUUCAUGGUGAUUCACUAUCCGGGUCUCUCCCUGAACCUGCAUUGCCCAACUCUACUUGCGAGAAUCUGCAGUUUCUUGACUUGGGUGGAAACAAGUUUUCAGGGAAUUUCCCUGAAUUUUUGACUCGCUUCCAAGGGCUCAAGGAGCUCGAUCUUUCUAAUAAUAUGUUUUCGGGCUCCAUUCCUCAGAGUUUAAGUGCGUUAAACCUUGAAAAAUUGAAUCUUUCGCACAAUAAUUUUAGUGGGGUGUUGCCUGUUUUUGGUGAAUCAAAGUUUGGUGUGGAGGUUUUUGAAGGGAACGAUCCUAGUCUUUGUGGAUUACCUUUAAGGAGUUGUAGCGGAAAUUCAAGAUUGAGCUCAGGUGCAAUUGCUGGUAUGGUGAUUGGAUUAAUGACUGGUGUUGUAGUUUUGGCCUCUUUAUUAAUAGGCUAUAUGCAAAACAAGAAGAGGAAAAGUGGGGAAGAGAGUGAAGAUGAAUUAGAGGAAGGAGAAGAUGAUGAAAAUGGUGGUAAUGGAGGUUCUGGAGGCAGUGAAGGAAAGCUAAUUUUGUUUCAAGGCGGCGAGCAUUUGACAUUAGAGGAUGUUUUGAAUGCAACAGGGCAAGUAACGGAGAAGACUACUUAUGGGACUGUUUAUAAGGCAAAGCUUGCUGAUGGAGGUACAAUUGCUUUGAGGUUAUUGAGGGAAGGUAGUUGCAAAGAUAGGAGUUCGUGCUUACCAGUGAUAAAGCAAUUGGGAAAGAUUCGACACGAGAACCUGAUUCCUUUGAGAGCUUUCUACCAUGGGAAAAGAGGGGAGAAGCUGCUCAUAUAUGACUAUCUUCCAAAUAGAAACCUUUAUGAUCUUUUACAUGAAACUAAAGCAGGAAAACCAGUGUUGAACUGGGCUAGGCGGCACAAGAUUGCAUUGGGUAUAGCUAGGGGACUAGCAUAUCUUCAUACAGGCCUUGAGACAUCCAUUACCCAUGGAAAUGUGAGAUCCAAAAAUGUGCUUGUGGAUGAAUUUUUUGCUGCCAGGCUUACUGAAUUUGGGCUUGACAAGCUAAUGGUCCCAGCUGUGGCUGAUGAAAUAGUGGCACUUGCAAAAACUGAUGGUUACAAGGCACCAGAGCUUCAGAGGAUGAAGAAAUGCAAUUCCAGAACAGAUGUUUUUGCAUUUGGAAUACUUUUGCUUGAGAUUUUGAUUGGCAGAAAACCUGGGAAAAAUGGGAAAAACAGUGAUUUUGUGGACUUGCCUUCAAUGGUGAAAGUGGCAGUUCUGGAGGAAACAACAAUGGAAGUUUUUGAUGUGGAGCUUUUGAAAGGGAUAAGGAGUCCAAUGGAAGAAGGAUUAGUUCAGGCACUGAAACUUGCAAUGGGAUGCUGCGCUCCAGUGCCUUCAGUUAGACCCACCAUGGAUGAAGUUGUGAAGCAAUUGGAAGAGAACAGACCAAGAAACAGGUCUGCUUUGUACAGUCCUACCGAAACAAGGAGCGAAAUUGGUACCCCUUUCUAAUUAAGCUUUCCUUUUCAUUAUAAAUUAGCUCUUUAUCAGUUGCUCAUUAACUGGGGCAUGGUAGCUGAUGAUUGUAAUGGUAUUUUCUUAUAUUUCUGUAUUAGAGAAUUCAUUUCUUAGUCUCUCUGUGUAAUUCAUUACAAGGUUUCCUACUUCUAGAAAAUAUUAAACAUGCUAAAAUCAUGUAUUCUCAGCUUACCCUCAAAAGGGCUUAAUUUUAAUCUCAUAUUUUCCUGCUA